AAUAUAAGUAUAGGUAUAAGUAUAAGUACAGGUGUUGACUGAUAGAGGAACGGGUGGAUGAAUUUGUAAUAGAAAAAUAUAUUGAAACAAGUAUAAGUGCAGAUAUAGUAUGUGAGGUCAAAAUCAAAUAAACUGUUAUCAUUAUUUAUUAAUUU
Long non-coding RNA from Bombus pascuorum, 155 nucleotides. RefSeq lists it as uncharacterized. The transcript has 2 exons. The record is from RefSeq and is a predicted model, not a curated record. NCBI's taxonomy places the organism in Eukaryota, Metazoa, Arthropoda, Insecta, Hymenoptera, Apidae.